This 76-nucleotide transfer RNA is filed under the name Opitutaceae bacterium. RNAcentral's name for it is "tRNA-His". It matches the Rfam family "tRNA". Rfam says of the family: Transfer RNA (tRNA) molecules are approximately 80 nucleotides in length. Lineage: Bacteria; Pseudomonadati; Verrucomicrobiota; Opitutia; Opitutales; Opitutaceae. The record is from RNAcentral.
GCGGUCAUAGCUCAGUUGGUUAGAACACAGGAUUGUGAAUCCUGGGGUGCGGGUUCGAGUCCCGUUGGCCGCCCCA